GAUGAACGCUGGCGGCGUGCCUAAUACAUGCGAGUCGAGCGAACGGACGAGAAGCUUGCUUCUCUGAUGUUAGCGGCGGACGGGUGAGUAACACGUGGAUAACCUACCUAUAAGACUGGGAUAACUUCGGGAAACCGGAGCUAAUACCGGUUAAUAUUUUGAACCGCAUGGUUCAAAAGUGAAAGACGGUCUUGCUGUCCCUUAUAGAUGGAUCCGCGCUGCAUUAGCUAGUUGGUAAGGUAACGGCUUACCAAGGCAACGAUGCAUAGCCGACCUGAGAGGGUGAUCGGCCACACUGGAACUGAGACACGGUCCAGACUCCUACGGGAGGCAGCAGUAGGGAAUCUUCCGCAAUGGGCGAAAGCCUGACGGAGCAACGCCGCGUGAGUGAUGAAGGUCUUCGGAUCGUAAAACUCUGUUAUUAGGGAAGAACAUAUGUGUAAGUAACUGUGCACAUCUUGACGGUACCUAAUCAGAAAGCCACGGCUAACUACGUG
Molecule: ribosomal RNA, 497 nt
Filed under: uncultured bacterium
Lineage: Bacteria
Description: partial 16S ribosomal RNA
Rfam family: Bacterial small subunit ribosomal RNA
Source: RNAcentral